RNAcentral lists this ribosomal RNA (428 nucleotides) under uncultured bacterium. RNAcentral's name for it is "bacterial SSU rRNA". It matches the Rfam family "Bacterial small subunit ribosomal RNA", at positions 64 to 524 of the family's 1533-position model. The record is from RNAcentral.
GAACGCGAAAGUGGAGCAUCCAUGAGUAAAGUGGCGCNACGGGUGAGUAACACGUGACUAACCUACCCUUGAGUGGGGGAUAACUUCGGGAAACCGAGGCUAAUACCGCAUAACACCUACGGGUCAAAGGAGCAAUUCGCUCGAGGAGGGGGUCGCGGCCGAUUAGUUAGUUGGCAGGGUAAUGGCCUACCAAGACGAUGAUCGGUAUCCGGCCUGAGAGGGCGCACGGACACACUGGAACUGAAACACGGUCCAGACUCCUACGGGAGGCAGCAGUGGGGAAUUUUGCGCAAUGGGGGAAACCCUGACGCAGCAACGCCGCGUGGAGGAUGAAGUCCUUCGGGACGUAAACUCCUUUCGAUCGGGACGAUUAUGACGGUACCGGAAGAAGAAGCCCCGGCUAACUUCGUGCCAGCAGCCGCGGUAAU